This 484-nucleotide ribosomal RNA is filed under the name uncultured bacterium. RNAcentral's name for it is "partial 16S ribosomal RNA". It matches the Rfam family "Bacterial small subunit ribosomal RNA", at positions 30 to 507 of the family's 1533-position model. The record is from RNAcentral.
AUUGAACGCUGGCGGCAGGCCUAACACAUGCAAGUCGAGCGGAUGAAGGGAGCUUGCUCCUGGAUUCAGCGGCGGACGGGUGAGUAAUGCCUAGGAAUCUGCCUGGUAGUGGGGGAUAACGUCCGGAAACGGGCGCUAAUACCGCAUACGUCCUGAGGGAGCAAGUGGGGGAUCUUCGGACCUCACGCUAUCAGAUGAGCCUAGGUCGGAUUAGCUAGCUGGUGGGGUAAAGGCCUACCAAGGCGACGAUCCGUAACUGGUCUGAGAGGAUGAUCAGUCACACUGGAACUGGAACACGGUCCUGACUCCUACGGGAGGCAGCAGAGGGGAAUAUGGGACAGUGGUCGAAAGCCUUAUCCAGCCAUGCCGCGUGUGUGAAGAAGGUCUUCGGAUUGUAAAGCACUUUAAGUUGGGAGGAAGGGCAGUAAGUUAAUACCUUGCUGUUUUGACGUUACCAACAGAAUAAGCACCGGCUAACUUCGUG